GAUCAUAGCUCAGGAUGAACGCUAGCGAUAGGCUUAACACAUGCAAGUCGAGGGGCAGCAUGGUCUUAGCUUGCUAAGACUGAUGGCGACCGGCGCACGGGUGCGUAACGCGUAUGCAACUUGCCUCACAGAGGGGGAUAACCCGUCGAAAGACGGACUAAUACCGCGUACACUCUAUGUUGGGCAUCCAAUGUAGAGGAAAUGAACUUCGCUGUGAGAUAGGCA
RNAcentral lists this ribosomal RNA (225 nucleotides) under uncultured bacterium. RNAcentral's name for it is "partial 16S ribosomal RNA". It matches the Rfam family "Bacterial small subunit ribosomal RNA", at positions 15 to 231 of the family's 1533-position model. The record is from RNAcentral.